Molecule: small RNA, 822 nt
Filed under: Arabidopsis thaliana (thale cress)
Lineage: Eukaryota; Viridiplantae; Streptophyta; Magnoliopsida; Brassicales; Brassicaceae
Description: ATSL259150
Source: RNAcentral
UAGAAAAUCCAAAGGGAGCAGUUACCGCAGUUGCAUUCGCAUCAAGAAAAUGAGUCGUAUCGGCCACAAGAACACGAGGAUUUGUAGCAUUAGGAGUAUCUACAACCCCAGUUGUAGCAAGAAUAGGAGAGUCGGAAGACGACUCAUCACCAGUUUCUUCAACACCAAUUCUAGUAGGAAAAGGAGAGACGGAAGGCAACGAGUCACCGUGUUCUUUAAGGAUCUCGAUCCUUCCGUUAAGCUGAUCGAGAUAUAGAUUUAUACAAGAUAACAAAUCUUGAAGGUCUUUUGCAUCAUAACGAUACUGCGACAUUUUGCCUUCAACACAAUCAAACAUAAAUCGUCUAACCUGUAACUCUUGGUUCGCACCAACCAGGUUCUGUAGUUGCUCUUUUGCUUUGGUAAUCCUCUCCAUUAGAUACGUUUCUUGAUUCAUCAUCUUCCUUGUUCGGGCUGUCGGCGACAUCUCCAGAAACUCUGGAACCGGAAUGAAUGGACUGUAGAUGAGAGUACAAGCUUGGACACCACAUAGAGUUGACAACUCGUAGAGUUUCUUCAUUAUCCCAUUUUUCCUCUUCAUGAAGGAUGUUUCCCUUGAUAUUUCAUUAGCUAUCAAAGAUAGCUUUACCUUCUUCAUCCCCAUGAAUUUGUUUUUUGUUUUGUGUGGUUGUUUAAUUUGUUGGCUCAAAGACUGUUUAUAUAGCAAAGAAGGUGAUUCUAGUCACUACGAUUCUUAUCAAUUUAGUGGACUCAUUAAUUCUAAAUAACAUCCAGGAAAUCUCUUAUUAAUUAAUUGACCAGGUAAUUCAUUAUUAUCUAUAU